UAAGGGUUCCUGUAGUUGAGUUA
RNAcentral lists this transfer RNA (23 nucleotides) under Crystallichthys cyclospilus (blotched snailfish). RNAcentral describes it as "partial tRNA-Glu". Lineage: Eukaryota; Metazoa; Chordata; Actinopteri; Perciformes; Liparidae. The record is from RNAcentral.